GGCUUCGCUCGCGGCCUCGGUUGACGCGUUCGGAGCCCGCGAGCGAUGCCUAGGGUGGCGCGGGUUUUGCCACCACCAGGGUCACAGAGCAGCCAGGUGUUUUAAUAUGGUUUUAGGGGUAAGUUUAAAAUAGAAACAAAGGCCUUUAAACGAAGAAAUCACUACUUUUUGCCCUUGCCGUGGAUGGGAGGCCAGCAUCGUAGCACUUAAGGGUUUUUUGGCUGGGAAAUCAGGGAGAAUUUUUGCCCCCAAUCUCUAGGAACUAAGCUUUAAGGACCCUGAGUUUUGGAGAAAGCUUCAGGUUUCCUCUUACUCGACCCAGUCUUUGUAAAGAAUGGGAGGCAGCUGUCAGAAGAAAAAACUUUAAACCCACCAAGUAUAGCAGUAUUUGUUCAGAGCACUUUACUCCAGACUGCUUUAAGAGAGAGUGCAACAACAAGUUACUGAAAGAAAACGCUGUGCCCACAAUAUUUCU
This 475-nucleotide small RNA is filed under the name Pongo abelii (Sumatran orangutan). RNAcentral describes it as "processed transcript". Lineage: Eukaryota; Metazoa; Chordata; Mammalia; Primates; Hominidae. The record is from RNAcentral.